GCCGGAGUAGGGUAGUGGUUAUCCUUUGGGACUGUGGAUCCCAUGACUCGGGUUCGAUUCUCGGCUCCGGCCCCA
This 75-nucleotide transfer RNA is filed under the name Methanosphaera sp. BMS. Its description in RNAcentral is "tRNA-His". It matches the Rfam family "tRNA". Rfam says of the family: Transfer RNA (tRNA) molecules are approximately 80 nucleotides in length. Their secondary structure includes four short double-helical elements and three loops (D, anti-codon, and T loops). The record is from RNAcentral. Lineage: Archaea; Methanobacteriati; Methanobacteriota; Methanobacteria; Methanobacteriales; Methanobacteriaceae.